RNAcentral lists this ribosomal RNA (500 nucleotides) under uncultured bacterium. Its description in RNAcentral is "bacterial SSU rRNA". It matches the Rfam family "Bacterial small subunit ribosomal RNA", at positions 30 to 515 of the family's 1533-position model. The record is from RNAcentral.
AUUGAACGCUGGCGGCAUGCCUUACACAUGCAAGUCGAACGGUAACAGCACUUCGGUGGCUGACGAGUGGCGAACGGGUGAGUAAUACAUCGGAACGUGCCCGAGAGUGGGGGAUAACGCAGCGAAAGCUGUGCUAAUACCGCAUACGAUCUACGGAUGAAAGCAGGGGACCGCAAGGCCUUGCGCUCAUGGAGCGGCCGAUGGCAGAUUAGGUAGUUGGUGGGAUAAAAGCUUACCAAGCCGACGAUCUGUAGCUGGUCUGAGAGGACGACCAGCCACACUGGGACUGAGACACGGCCCAGACUCCUACGGGAGGCAGCAGUGGGGAAUUUUGGACAAUGGGCGAAAGCCUGAUCCAGCCAUGCCGCGUGCAGGAUGAAGGCCUUCGGUUGUAACGUAGCUUUGUUACGGUAACGAAAAGGUACGUUUUCUUAAUAAAGAAAGGACGUCAUGACGGUACCGGUAAGAAUAAGACACCGGCUAACUACGUAGCCAGCACG